This 253-nucleotide ribosomal RNA is filed under the name uncultured bacterium. Its description in RNAcentral is "partial 16S ribosomal RNA". It matches the Rfam family "Bacterial small subunit ribosomal RNA", at positions 524 to 776 of the family's 1533-position model. The record is from RNAcentral.
UACAGAGGUCGCAAGCGUUGUUCGGAUUCACUGGGCGUAAAGGGUGCGUAGGCGGUCGGGUAAGUCUGAUGUGAAAUCUCUCAGCUUAACUGUGAAACUGCAUUGGAUACUAUCCGGCUCGAGGAAUGGAGGGGAGACUGGAAUACUUGGUGUAGCAGUGAAAUGCGUAGAUAUCAAGUGGAACACCAGUGGCGAAGGCGAGUCUCUGGACAUUUCCUGACGCUGAGGCACGAAAGCCAGGGGAGCAAACGGG